RNAcentral lists this ribosomal RNA (1122 nucleotides) under uncultured organism. Its description in RNAcentral is "bacterial SSU rRNA". It matches the Rfam family "Bacterial small subunit ribosomal RNA", at positions 209 to 1361 of the family's 1533-position model. The record is from RNAcentral.
GCUCCGGCGCUUCGGGAGAGGACUGCGGCCCAUCAGCUAGUUGGUAGGGUAACGGCCUACCAACGCAGAGACGGGUAGGGGGCGUGAGAGCGCGGACCCCCACACUGGCACUGAGAUACGGGCCAGACUCCUACGGGAGGCAGCAGUAAGGGAUAUUGCGCAAUGGACGAAAGUCAGACGCAGCGACGCCGCGUGGGCGAUGAAGGCCUUCGGGUUGUAAAGCCCUUUUAUGGGGGAAGAGAAAAAGGACGGUACCCCAGGAAUAAGUCCCGGCUAACUACGUGCCAGCAGCCGCGGUAAAACGUAGGGGACAAGCGUUAUCCGGAUUCACUGGGCGUAAAGAGCGUUGAGGCGGUUCCGUAAGUUGGGCGUGAAAGCUCCGGGCUUAACUCGGAGAUGUCGUUCAAUACUGCGGGGCUUGAGGACAGCAGAGGAAGGUGGAAUUCCCGGUGUAGUGGUGAAAUGCGUAGAUAUCGGGAGGAACACCCGUGGCGAAGGCGGCCUUCUGGGCUGUUCCUGACGCUGAAGUCGAAAGCUAGGGGAGCGAACGGGAUUAGAUACCCCGGUAGUCCUAGCUGUAAACGAUGGAUGCUGGGUGUGGGGGGUGUAAAUUCCCUCUGUGCCGAAGCCAACGCGUUAAGCAUCCCGCCUGGGGACUACGGCCGCAAGGCUAAAACUCAAACGAAUUGACGGGGGCCCGCACAAGCAGCGGAGCGUGUGGUUUAAUUCGAUGCUACACGAAGAACCUUACCUGGGUUUGACAUGCACGUGGUAGGGAACCGAAAGGGGACCGACCUUCGGGAGCGUGCACAGGUGCUGCAUGGCUGUCGUCAGCUCGUGCCGUGAGGUGUCGGGUUAAGUCCCGUAACGAGCGCAACCCUUGCCCUUAGUUACAAGUGUCUAAGGGGACUGCCCGGGACAACUGGGAGGAAGGUGGGGAUGACGUCAAGUCAGCAUGGCCUUUAUAUCCAGGGCUACACACACGCUACAAUGGCCGGUACAAUAGGUUGCGAAGUCGUGAGGCGGAGCCAAUCCUCAAAGCCGGUCUCAGUUCGAAUUGCAGUCUGCAACUCGACUGCAUGAAGCUGGAGUUGCUAGUAAUCGCAGGUCAGCUAUACUGCG